This 687-nucleotide ribosomal RNA is filed under the name uncultured bacterium. RNAcentral describes it as "bacterial SSU rRNA". It matches the Rfam family "Bacterial small subunit ribosomal RNA", at positions 813 to 1500 of the family's 1533-position model. The record is from RNAcentral.
CGACUUGGAGGUUGUGCCCUUGAGGCGUGGCUUCCGGAGCUAACGCGUUAAGUCGACCGCCUGGGGAGUACGGCCGCAAGGUUAAAACUCAAAUGAAUUGACGGGGGCCCGCACAAGCGGUGGAGCAUGUGGUUUAAUUCGAUGCAACGCGAAGAACCUUACCUGGCCUUGACAUCCAGAGAACUUAGCAGAGAUGCUUUGGUGCCUUCGGGAACUCUGAGACAGGUGCUGCAUGGCUGUCGUCAGCUCGUGUUGUGAAAUGUUGGGUUAAGUCCCGCAACGAGCGCAACCCUUAUCCUUUGUUGCCAGCGAUUCGGCCGGGAACUCAAAGGAGACUGCCGGUGAUAAACCGGAGGAAGGUGGGGAUGACGUCAAGUCAUCAUGGCCCUUACGGCCAGGGCUACACACGUGCUACAAUGGCGCAUACAAAGAGAAGCGACCUCGCGAGAGCAAGCGGACCUCAUAAAGUGCGUCGUAGUCCGGAUUGGAGUCUGCAACUCGACUCCAUGAAGUCGGAAUCGCUAGUAAUCGUAGAUCAGAAUGCUACGGUGAAUACGUUCCCGGGCCUUGUACACACCGCCCGUCACACCAUGGGAGUGGGUUGCAAAAGAAGUAGGUAGCUUAACCUUCGGGAGGGCGCUUACCACUUUGUGAUUCAUGACUGGGGUGAAGUCGUAACAAGGUAAC